CUUUAUACAUGCAAGUCGAACGGAGGCCCUAGCUUGCUAGGUGUCCUUAGUGGCGCACGGGUGAGUAACACGUGGGAACAUACCUUAUAGUACGGAAUAACUGCGGGAAACUGUAGCUAAUACCGUAUACUCCAGUAAUGGGAAAGAUUUAUCGCUAUAAGAUUGGCCCGCGCAAGAUUAGCUUGUUGGUGAGGUAAAAGCUCACCAAGGCUUCGAUCUUUAGCUGGUUUGAGAGGACGAUCAGCCACACUGGGACUGAGACACGGCCCAGACUCCUACGGGAGGCAGCAGUAGGGAAUAUUGGACAAUGGGGGCAACCCUGAUCCAGCAAUGCAGCGUGAGUGACGAAGGCCUUAGGGUUGUAAAACUCUUUCAUCGGUGAGGAUAAUGACAGUAGCCGAAGAAGAAGGACCGGCUAAUUCCGUGCCAGCAGCCGCGGUAAUACGGAAGGUCCUAUCGUUGUUCGGAAUUACUGGGCGUAAAGCGCAUGUAGGCGGAACAGAAAGUUAGAAGUGAAAUCCCUGCGCUCAACCUAGGAAUUGCUUUUAAAACUUCU
This 556-nucleotide ribosomal RNA is filed under the name uncultured bacterium. RNAcentral describes it as "bacterial SSU rRNA". It matches the Rfam family "Bacterial small subunit ribosomal RNA", at positions 47 to 637 of the family's 1533-position model. The record is from RNAcentral.